AUACCGGGCCUUUUUGGGCUUGGUAAUUGGAAUGAGGGAGAGUUAAACGGACCAUCGAGUAUCCAUUGGAGGGCAAGUCUGGUGCCAGCAGCUGCGGUAAUACCAGCUCCAAUAGCGUAUAUUAAAGUUGUUGCAGUUAAAAAGCUCGUAGUUGGACUUGUGUGCGCUGUCCGCGGGUGGCCUGCGCCCAAAAGGGCGUUUCGGUUCGACCCCGGUGGCGCCUUGAAAUCUGCAGCUGGGGGGACGUUGGCCUUAACUGGUCGGCGACCGCACGCCGGCUGCUCGGUUACUGUGAGAAAAUUAGAGUGUUCAAGGCAGGCAUUGGGUGCAAUUGAAUACAUUAGCAUGGAAUAAUAAGAUAUGGCUCCUGCCGUAUUUUGUUGGUUUUGACUGGUGGGAGUAAUGAUUGAUAGGGACGUUUGGGGGUGCUAGUAUUGAGCGGCCAGAGGUGAAAUUCAUGGAUUCGCUCAAGACUAACUUAUGCGAAAGCAUUCACCAAGGACGUCCUCUUUAAUCAAGAACGAAAGUUGGGGGAUCGAAGACGAUCAGAUACCGUCGUAGUCUCAACCAUAAACUAUGUCGACUUGGGAUCGGCGGUAGUUUUUUCAUUAAGACACUGUCGGGACCACGGGAGAAAUCAAAGUGUCUGGACUCUGGGGGAAGUAUGGUCGCAAGGCUGAAACUUGAAGGAAUUGACGGAAGGGCACCACCAGGAGUGGAGCCUGCGGCUUAAUUUGACCCAACACGGGGAAGCUUACCAGGUCCAGAGAUGUAGAGGAUUGACAGAUUGAAGCUCUUUCUUGAUCACUUCGGUGGUGGUGCAUGGCCGUUCUUAGUUGGUGGAGUGAUUUGUCUGGUUAAUUCCGUUAACGAACGAGACCUCAGCCUGCUAGUGUAGUCGGCUGGAUUGCCUUUGGCGAUCCGUGAUUUCGACUUCUUAGAGGGACAAUCGACGCGCAGUCGAUGGAAGUUUGAGGCAAUAACAGGUCUGUGAUGCCCUUAGAUGUUCUGGGCCGCACGCGCGCUACACUGCUGGGCUCAGCGAGUUUUACUUGGCCGAGAGGCCCGGUUAAUCUUGUGAAAUCCCAGCGUGCUUGGGCUCGCCUCCUGCAACUGGAGGCGCCAACGAGGAAUUCCUAGUAGACGCAGGUCAUCAACCUGCAUCGAUUACGUCCCUGCCCUUUGUACACACCGCCCGUCGUUCCAUAAGAGUGAGGCAUCCGGUGAAUUCUCGGGAGAGCCUGGGCGUGGCCAGCAAUGGUCUGCUCGGGUUUGAACUUGCAUAAACUUGGUGCCUAUGAUUAGGG
This 1307-nucleotide ribosomal RNA is filed under the name metagenome. Its description in RNAcentral is "SSU rRNA". It matches the Rfam family "Eukaryotic small subunit ribosomal RNA", at positions 483 to 1783 of the family's 1831-position model. The record is from RNAcentral.